RNAcentral lists this transfer RNA (83 nucleotides) under Sandaracinaceae bacterium. RNAcentral's name for it is "tRNA-Leu". It matches the Rfam family "tRNA". From Rfam's summary of the family: Transfer RNA (tRNA) molecules are approximately 80 nucleotides in length. Their secondary structure includes four short double-helical elements and three loops (D, anti-codon, and T loops). RNAcentral also lists the same sequence under 3 other names. The record is from RNAcentral. Lineage: Bacteria; Pseudomonadati; Myxococcota; Polyangiales; Sandaracinaceae.
GGCCGAGUGGCGGAAUGGCAGACGCGGCGGAUUCAAAAUCCGCUUUCCGAAAGGGAGUGCCGGUUCGAGUCCGGCCUCGGCUA